ACUCCUACGGGAGGCAGCAGUGGGGAAUAUUGCACAAUGGGGGAAACCCUGAUGCAGCCAUGCCGCGUGUGUGAAGAAGGCCUUCGGGUUGUAAAGCACUUUCAGCAGUGAGGAAAGGUGACAGUUAAUACCUGUUAUCUGUUGACGUUAACUGCAGAAGAAGGACCGGCUAACUCCGUGCCAGCAGCCGCGGUAAUACGGAGGGUCCGAGCGUUAAUCGGAAUUACUGGGCGUAAAGCGCGCGUAGGCGGCUAGGUCAGUCAGAAUGU
RNAcentral lists this ribosomal RNA (269 nucleotides) under uncultured bacterium. Its description in RNAcentral is "partial 16S ribosomal RNA". It matches the Rfam family "Bacterial small subunit ribosomal RNA", at positions 335 to 596 of the family's 1533-position model. The record is from RNAcentral.